GUGUUGUGCUUGUUGCGGACAAAUCCAGUGAAUAUGCGUAUCAAUACCGCCAGCGGUCGCAAUUAAAUGUGCGCCGUUAUGUACUUCGGUGCUUGCGCCGAUAAUCAUAUUUGGCGUGACGUUAUCCAUCGUAUCCGGAUUACCCGCCUGACCGAUACCGACAAUGCGUCCGUCACGAAUCCCGAUAUCCGCUUUGAUAAUGCCUAAUUUUGCGUCGAUAAUCAUCACGUUAGUGAGAGCAAAAUCCAAUACGUUCGGAUUAUCACGGGUAGAGGUGCUUGAUUGUGCCAUACCGUCACGCAC
Molecule: small RNA, 303 nt
Filed under: Actinobacillus pleuropneumoniae serovar 5b str. L20
Lineage: Bacteria; Pseudomonadati; Pseudomonadota; Gammaproteobacteria; Pasteurellales; Pasteurellaceae
Description: 5' ureB small RNA
Rfam family: 5' ureB small RNA
Source: Rfam by way of RNAcentral